RNAcentral lists this long non-coding RNA (627 nucleotides) under Citrus x clementina. Its description in RNAcentral is "Citrus clementina (C. clementina) long non-coding RNA (CCLE_LNC003663)". The record is from RNAcentral. Lineage: Eukaryota; Viridiplantae; Streptophyta; Magnoliopsida; Sapindales; Rutaceae.
UAAUAAUUAAUCAAUAAUUUAAUUAUUUACUCAAAAUAUAAUUAGAUCAUGAGAUAAUCUCAAUCUAAAACAAUAAUAAUUAUAAUUUGUCAUUAGCUGUGGAAACAGAGGGAGAAAGAUAUUGUUUGAGGGUGACGUGUAAUUUGUGUUUGGUGUUUGGUACAUUAGUGAAGGGAAAAAAGCUUGUGUUUAUCAUGUCCAGGAGCUGUAAAUUUCAUUUAUUGAUAUUUUAAUAAUAAAUUUUUUUUGAGUCUCAUAAUAAAAAUCACGGCGAAUCCUGCAACAACAGCACGCCACACAAGUCCUUGUCGACAAGAGCACCCGCGCACUUUCAGAUUCAUUUGUGUCCCAACUAAUCAGGAAAGAAAGAAAAGAGUGAUGUGAUGUGCAGAAUAGUCGCGUGACACAACAGCACCGCCGCUUGCACAGUUGCUGGGUGAUAUUUAUUUUCAAUUUUCCAGAAACAAUUUGUGCGUCGUCGUCGCGUCAUGUGUGUGAGUUGCAUCGUUUUACGAGUUCUUGUACUGCGUGCAACUUUUCAUUUUAUGUGAUUUGGCAGCGAGGUAUCUGAUAAGGGAUCACUUAUUUAAAUUGAUAUUUUAAUAAUAUUCAAUAAAUAUAAAUAUA